GCAGGAUGUGGAUGUCCUGUCGGCCCUGGCCCUGCUACUGCCCCAGGGUGCCUGCACUGGCCGGACCCCGGACCCCAGCCAGCGGUGCGGGUGGGGUGGCCAAUGGCACUGGGGCAGGGACAGUCGUGGGCCCCAACGCCACCGCUGAGGAGGGCGCACCCUCUGCUGCAGCACCGGCCUCCCCGGACACGCUGCAGGGCCAGUGCUCAGCCUUCGUGCAGCUCUGGGCCGGCCUGCAGCCCAUAUUGUGUGGCAACAACCGCACCAUUGAGCCUGAGGCGCUGCGGCGGGGCAACAUGAGCUCCCUGGGUUUCACGAGCAAGGAGCAGCGGAACCUGGGCCUCCUCGUGCACCUCAUGACCAGCAACCCCAAAAUCCUGUACGCACCUGCGGGCUCUGAGGUCGACCGCGUCAUCCUCAAGGCCAAUGAGACUUUUGCCUUUGUGGGCAACGUGACUCACUAUGCCCAGGUCUGGCUCAACAUCUCGGCCGAGAUUCGCAGCUUCCUUGAGCAGGGCAGGCUGCAGCAACACCUGCACUGGCUACAGCAGGUGCCAAGGGUGCCCGCGAGGGAGGCAGCCGCAGGUGGCGCGGGGAGCCCCUCUCUGCCCGGCUCGGCAGGCCUGUAGGCCCCCCUCUGAGCUGCUCCUCUACCCCUAGUACGUAGCGGAGCUGCGGCUGCACCCUGAGGCACUGAACCUGUCGCUGGAUGAGCUGCCGCCGGCCCUGAGACAGGACAACUUCUCGCUGCCCAGUGGCAUGGCCCUCUUGCAGCAGCUGGAUACCAUUGACAACGCGGCCUGCGGCUGGAUCCAGUUCAUGUCCAAGGUGAGGUGGGGCCGCCGAGCCAACCCCCAUACCCCCUAACUCGUGCAUGACCAGGCGGCCUCCAGCGAUGCCCCUCCCCCUAGGUGAGCGUGGACAUCUUCAAGGGCUUCCCCGACGAGGAGAGCAUUGUCAACUACACGCUCAACCAGGCCUACCAGGACAAUGUCACUGUGUUUGCCAGUGAGCUGCCCUCCCCGCUCUGCCUCAGCCCCCCACAGACCUCCUCCUCCCCAGCCCAGCCCCACUUGUCCCCCUGUGC
RNAcentral lists this long non-coding RNA (1087 nucleotides) under Rhinopithecus bieti (black snub-nosed monkey). RNAcentral's name for it is "lncRNA (ENSRBIG00000045346.1)". The record is from RNAcentral. Lineage: Eukaryota; Metazoa; Chordata; Mammalia; Primates; Cercopithecidae.